This 190-nucleotide ribosomal RNA is filed under the name uncultured fungus. RNAcentral's name for it is "partial 18S ribosomal RNA". It matches the Rfam family "Eukaryotic small subunit ribosomal RNA", at positions 892 to 1078 of the family's 1831-position model. The record is from RNAcentral. Lineage: Eukaryota; Fungi.
UAGUAUUCAAUUGUCAGAGGUGAAAUUCUUGGAUUUAUUGAAGACUAACUACUGCGAAAGCAUUUGCCAAGGAUGUUUUCAUUAAUCAAGGACGAAAGUUAGGGGAUCGAAGACGAUCAGAUACCGUCGUAGUCUUAACCAUAAACUAUGCCGACUAGGGAUCGGAUGAUGUUAAUUUUUUAAUGACUCA